AGGGGAUAAAGGGUUACAUGGUGAAGAGAGAAAUUUGGCACAGCUAAGCAGACCAAGUGGGCUUCCUGGAGGAAGGGGCAUUCGAUUGAGAUUUGAAAGCUUUUUUUUUUUUUUUUUUUUCAUUAUUUGACUGCACCGGGUCUUAGUUGUGGCAUGAGAACUCUGAGUUGCGGCAUGUGGGAUCUAGUUCCCUGACCAGGGAUCAAACCCAGGCCUCCUAAAUUGGGAGCGAGGAGUAUUAGCCACUGGACUACCAGGGAGGUCCCAGAUUUUUUUUUUUAAAUCUUGAGUAUUGAAAGGGAAGCAAGGUCGAGUGAAGUCCCUGACAGAAGGGGCAGCUGAGGUGAAGCAGGUGAGACCUGGACUGUGUCGAUCAGACUAGUUGGGAUCCCAUUGCUAAGGAUGGACCACGUGGCUUUGUGGAGGUGCCUUCUCCUCCGAACAUAUUUCCUCACUGGAAGAGAAGAAAGACUGUGAAGAUACUGAAACAACACGUGUGAAACAGCCGCCCAACCCUGUGGGUGCUGCUCCUGUCUGACUUACUCCGGUCUGACUCUAGUGGUGGCCUGGCGGGCGUUCCAGGCAGGUGGUGACACUCCUGUGUCUCUGGUUUGAAGGGAAUCAUUAGACAUCAAAUGAACACUCCUUAGGAAGAGAUAAAUGUUGUCCUCUGUCAGAGCCGUGGCCCUGUCACCAGGGCAGGUGACCAGGACUGCACAACCAACAGCCCAGGCUCUGCGGUUCCAGCUCUGCGUCCCGGCUGCUCUCCAGCAGGAAAGGAGGCCAAGGCCUGUGCCCACUUCACACAGAGCACCUCAGGGCCUCGCCCUGGGGUUCCUGCCAAAGAGUCCUUCUUGCAUCACACCUGGAGGCCACCCCAGCCAGCAAGUCCAUCAGGAGGAAUAACACGUUCAGUCAACAGGCACCUGCUUACACAUUUUCUACUCAGAGAUAACUGCUCAGUCAGAGCUCUUCAGACCUCAAAGUGGCCCGGGGCCUGGGUCUGGUGGGGAGGUGCUGCUUUGGCAACACAGAAGCCUCUGCUGCCUCUGGGAGCUGAGCCCACACCUUUCCUUCAAUCUGCAGGUGGUUUCAGAGAACAGAGCAUGCAAGCAGAAGAGGGCAGUGAGAAGGGUAUUGUCAAAGCAACAGUCCCCAGCACUGGGGCUGCAGAGGGUAGAACACAGGCCAAACAUUCAUGCUGACCACGUCAGAACCGCCAACAGGGCCUCUCUCUUCAAAUCUCUCCCAUGUGACUCUUCAGCUCUCCUCACAGGUGGGUGUUUUUGUGGCCGGAGGUGAUCGUGGGUUUGAACGGCCAUGGUAACGUGUCCAAUUUCUCAUGAUGAUCUACCAGGCUGGGAGCCUCUG
RNAcentral lists this long non-coding RNA (1371 nucleotides) under Bos indicus x Bos taurus (hybrid cattle). Its description in RNAcentral is "lncRNA (ENSBIXG00005025795.1)". The record is from RNAcentral. Lineage: Eukaryota; Metazoa; Chordata; Mammalia; Artiodactyla; Bovidae.